RNAcentral lists this long non-coding RNA (361 nucleotides) under Helianthus annuus (common sunflower). RNAcentral describes it as "sRNA HanXRQr2_Chr16g0761251". The record is from RNAcentral. Lineage: Eukaryota; Viridiplantae; Streptophyta; Magnoliopsida; Asterales; Asteraceae.
UUCUCUCCCUCCUUGUUCUCGGCUCACCCACACCCCCCUUACAUCCACCAUUUUCAUCCAAUUACAAUCCAUCCAAGGUUUACAUAAGGUGCUAGAAGGUGUCUAACGAAGUGUGGAUCUUGAUGAACCUCCUCCAUUUGCUUUUAUCCAACCAUUUUGUCAUCUUCAAGUUCUAGUAAUCUUCCCUAGCCUUGUUGCUAGUGGUAACUAGAGUGGAUGUGUGCGCGGUCUUACUCUUGCUCAUGGAUGAUGUCUAUGUUUGUCUUUGAAUAAAGAUGUAAUCUUUUCAGACAAUAUGCUGUCUUGUGAUGUAAACACUUAAACCAUGUUUUCAGUUAUGAAAUGUUUGAACCUUUCAUGA